CUACGGGAGGCAGCAGUGAGGAAUAUUGGUCAAUGGGCGUAAGCCUGAACCAGCCAAGUAGCGUGAAGGACGACGGCCCUACGGGUUGUAAACUUCUUUUAUAAGGGAAUAAAGUUCGCCACGUGUGGUGUUUUGUAUGUACCUUAUGAAUAAGCAUCGGCUAAUUCCGUGCCAGCAGCCGCGGUAAUACGGAAGAUGCGAGCGUUAUCCGGAUUUAUUGGGUUUAAAGGGAGCGUAGGCGGGCUUUUAAGUCAGCGGUCAAAUGUCACGGCUCAACCGUGGCCAGCCGUUGAAACUGUAAGCCUUGAGUCUGCACAGGGCACAUGGAAUUCGUGGUGUAGCGGUGAAAUGCUUAGAUAUCACGAAGAACUCCGAUCGCGAAGGCAUUGUGCCGGGGCAGCACUGACGCUGAGGCUCGAAAGUGCGGGUAUCAAACAGGAUUAGAUACCCUGGUAGUCCGCACGG
This 465-nucleotide ribosomal RNA is filed under the name uncultured bacterium. RNAcentral's name for it is "bacterial SSU rRNA". It matches the Rfam family "Bacterial small subunit ribosomal RNA", at positions 339 to 802 of the family's 1533-position model. The record is from RNAcentral.